UCAAGCUGAUAAGAGCGCAAGGGGAAUGCCUUGGCAUCGAGAGCCGAAGAAGGACGUGACAAGCUGCGAUAAGUCUGGGGGAGCCGCACAUAGGCAUUGAUCCCGGAAUUUCCGAAUGGGGAAACCCGGCAGAGCAAUACUCUGUCAACGUGCGUUGAACAAAAUAGGCGUACGUGGGGAACCGCCUGAACUGAAACAUCUAAGUAGGGCGAGGAAGAGAAAUCAACCGAGAUUCCGCUAGUAGUGGCGAGCGAACGCGGAAGAGGGCAAACCGGAGGAUUUAUUCUCCGGGGUUGUGGACUUGCAUACGGCAUACUAGGUUAGCUGAACGGUAUGGGAAGGCCGGCCAUAGCGGGUGAGAGCCCCGUAAGCGAAAACCGAUGUAUGCCAGCGAGUAUCCAGAGUACCGCCGGACACGUGAAACCCGGUGGGAAGCUGGGGGGACCACCCUCCAACCCUAAAUACUACUCGAUGACCGAUAGAGGAGCAGUACCGUGAGGGAAAGGUGAAAAGGACCCCGGGAGGGGAGUGAAAUAGAACCUGAAACCUUGUGCUUACAAGCACUCAGAGCACGUUAAAGUGUGAUGAGGUACUUUUUGUAGAACGGUCCGGCGAGUUAUUGUACGGAGCAAGCUUAAGGUGUUGAGCACCGGAGGCGAAGCGAGAGCGAGUCUGAAUAGGGCGAAUACAGUUGCGUGCAAUAGACCCGAAACCAGGUGACCUAUCCAUGGGCAGGUUGAAGUGGGGGUAAAACCCCAUGGAGGACCGAACCGACCCCCGUUGCAAUGGUGGCGGAUGACCUGUGGAUAGCGGAGAAAUUCUAAUCGAACUUGGAGAUAGCUGGUUCUCCCCGAAAUAGCUUUAGGGCUAGCGUUAGUUUAGAUUACCGGAGGUAAAGCACUGAAUGGGCUAGGGGCUGAUAAAGUUACUGAACCCUAUCAAACUCAGAAUGCCGGAUAAUUGAUGACUAGCAGUCAGACUACGUGAGAUAAGUCUCGUGGUCAAAAGGGAAACAGCCCAGACCCACAGCUAAGGUCCCAAAGAUACGCUAAGUGGAAAACGAUGUGGAAUUGCGAAAACAACCAGGAUGUUGGCUUAGAAGCAGCCACUCAUUAAAAGAGUGCGUAAUAGCUCACUGGUCGAGUGACUCUGCGCGGAAAAUGUAACGGGGCUAAGCAUCUAACCGAAGCUUAGGAUUGUCAGCAAUGACAGUGGUAGGGGAGCGUUCCAUGUGGGGUGAAGUCGUAGCGAAAGCAGCGGUGGACUGCAUGGAAGUGAGAAUGCCGGAAUGAGUAGCGAGAAUUAUGUGGGAAUCAUAAUGGCCGAAAAUCUAAGGUUUCUUGGGGAAGGUUCGUCCGCCCAAGGUAAGCCGGGAGCUAAGGCGAGGCCGAAAGGCGUAGUCGAUGCACAUACGGUAGAAAUUCCGUAGCCACCGAACUUUAAGUCAGAGGGACACUUUUGGAUAGCGGAACCCGGGCGUUGGUUGACCCGGGCGAAAGGGAGCGAAAAUAUAGUAGCGAAGUCCGCGAUGCUGAGAGGCGAGAAAAGCUCUGAUGGAUACUAAGGUGCCCGUACCGCAAACCGACACAGGUAGAUGAGGAGAGAAUCCUAAGGCCAACGGGAGAAGGGUUGUUAAGGAACUCGGCAAGUUGACCCCGUAACUUCGGAAUAAGGGGAGCCUCGAAAGAGGCCGCAGUGAAAAGGCCCAAGCAACUGUUUACCAAAAACACAGGUCUAUGCUAAAUCGAAAGAUGACGUAUAUGGGCUGACGCCUGCCCGGUGCCGGAAGGUUAAGAGGAGAUGUCAGCGCAAGCGAAGCAUUGAAUUGAAGCCCCGGUAAACGGCGGCCGUAACUAUAACGGUCCUAAGGUAGCGAAAUUCCUUGUCAGGUAA
RNAcentral lists this ribosomal RNA (1893 nucleotides) under human gut metagenome. RNAcentral describes it as "bacterial LSU rRNA". It matches the Rfam family "Bacterial large subunit ribosomal RNA", at positions 3 to 1979 of the family's 2925-position model. The record is from RNAcentral.